Molecule: non-coding RNA, 72 nt
Organism: Phrynosoma platyrhinos (Desert horned lizard)
Lineage: Eukaryota; Metazoa; Chordata; Lepidosauria; Squamata; Phrynosomatidae
Source: the annotation of a GenBank genome assembly
ACCAGUGUGGCACAGUGGUUUGAGCAUUGGACUGCAACUCUGGAGACUAGGGUUCAAUUCCCAGCUCAGCCA